UCUCGAUUGGUCUAGUGGUCAGGAUACCUGCUUGUCAUUUCAAUGAACAAGUUCGCAGGUGGCCGGGGUUCGAUUCCCCGAUCGAGAG
Non-coding RNA from Daldinia decipiens, 88 nucleotides. The record is from the annotation of a RefSeq genome assembly. NCBI's taxonomy places the organism in Eukaryota, Fungi, Ascomycota, Sordariomycetes, Xylariales, Hypoxylaceae.